GACGAACGCUGGCGGCGUGCUUAACACAUGCAAGUCGAACGGAAAGGCCCUGCUUUUGUGGGGUGCUCGAGUGGCGAACGGGUGAGUAACACGUGAGUAACCUGCCCUUGACUUUGGGAUAACUUCAGGAAACUGGGGCUAAUACCGGAUAGGAGCUCCUGCUGCAUGGUGGGGGUUGGAAAGUUUCGGCGGUUGGGGAUGGACUCGCGGCUUAUCAGCUUGUUGGUGGGGUAGUGGCUUACCAAGGCUUUGACGGGUAGCCGGCCUGAGAGGGUGACCGGGCAAAAUGGGACUGAGAUACGGCCCAGACUCCUACGGGAGGCAGCAGUGGGGAAUAUUGCACAAUGGGCGGAAGCCUGAUGCAGCAACGCCGCGUGCGGGAUGACGGCCUUCGGGUUGUAAACCGCUUUCGCCUGUGACGAAGCGUGAGUGACGGUAAUGGGUAAAGAAGCACCGGCUAACUACGUG
RNAcentral lists this ribosomal RNA (468 nucleotides) under uncultured bacterium. RNAcentral's name for it is "partial 16S ribosomal RNA". It matches the Rfam family "Bacterial small subunit ribosomal RNA", at positions 28 to 507 of the family's 1533-position model. The record is from RNAcentral.